Molecule: long non-coding RNA, 783 nt
Organism: Diabrotica virgifera virgifera (western corn rootworm)
Lineage: Eukaryota; Metazoa; Arthropoda; Insecta; Coleoptera; Chrysomelidae
Exons: 3
Source: RefSeq, a predicted model, not a curated record
UUCAAUUUGGAAUGCGAUUUUGUUAAUAAAAAAAAUACUUAUAACUUAUGCAAAACCCAAGAGAGGCAUUUAUAUUUAUUUCUUUUGCGUUCAUUUUCAAAUUCGCCGUGCAUAUAUUUUUGUGCAUGGCGCUUGAGAGGGCAUCACGUGACUAAAAACGACCAACCAACGACCUCGCUUCGGCCAUCUUGGCAUCUUCAUCUUGGUCACCUUGCUUUGCCGUGGAUCGUUUGUAUUAUUUGUGCUUUUUAAGAAUAUUUUUUUAAUUCGGAUACUUUUAUAAUAGCUUUAAUAGUAUUAUUAACAUAGUGAAUAAAAUGGUGUCCUGUUUUUAACGCAGUUGGAGUAGCAGAAACAAAUGUAGAUAAAAAAAUCUGCAAGAAUAACGUUUCAAUUAUGACAGAAGCUCCAAACAAAUGACUGAAUGAAAAGCCCUAUUAAAAGCUUUCCAGAAGAUCCUGCGAAGAAGACAUGAAGUAUAGAUCAGAUUUGUUAAUAGAGGAGUAUGUUCAAAACACUUUUUAGAAAAAGAUAUUGACAGAACUUCACUUUCAUCUGUUCGUUUAAGAGACUGUGCUGUUCCAAUAGCUUAUGUCACACAGAAUCAGCUGAGAGAAGUGGUCUACAAAAAACCAGAAAGGAAACGGAAUAUGUGGCUACGCAAAGCAAAAGAAAGGUUUACAAAGCAAAUGUGACACAUUUUUUUAUAAUAUUUAGGAAUGUCAGUAAAUUACAUUAAAAAAUGUAUGUAAAGAUUUUUUGCAAUAAAAAUGUUUAUAUUUA